This is a long non-coding RNA of Drosophila willistoni, 1147 nucleotides long. RefSeq lists it as uncharacterized. The transcript is spliced from 3 exons. The record is from RefSeq and is a predicted model, not a curated record. Lineage: Eukaryota; Metazoa; Arthropoda; Insecta; Diptera; Drosophilidae.
CAAAACUUUUGCACGCUGAGUGUUGCAAAGAAAAGAAACCCUUCUUUUUAAUACCUCGUGGUUUUAUCAAGUUUUCUUUUGCGCUACGAAAAAUGAAUCCAUCUUACGUACAUUCCUUUUAUCUGGGCAAUCUUACUUUUGACCAAAAACUGGAUUACUUGGAGCUAAUGAUCAAGCAGCUGCAAAGUGACAUUCAAGAUUAUAUCACACAUUUUGCUAAGGAAGAACGUGCCGAAAAGAAUUCCGAAAACGAGGAUGUCAUCGUAGUGGACACUGAUGACGAGCCUCAGUUCAAUUGAAAAGAACUUUGGCAAAUUGUAAAGCUGACUAAAAUAUGUACAUAAAUAAGUAAUUAUAAUCCCUAAAAACUAGUUAAAUAGUUUUAGUUAUCAAGGGGCAUUAGACGUGUUCGAAUAUUACCCGGAACUCUAAUUUUGGAACUGGAAUUGCUCUUUUUUCUUCAAGUUUCUGGACCAUUUAAACAUUCUCUUUAACAACAUGCAGAUGACACAGUUUUCGAAUGGUAUGGGAGGGCCAACACUAAACACUUGACAAUAUGACCCAAAACAUUAUGUUCUCCAUACCAAAUUUUCCCAUUGCUAAUUUCCAAAGAGACACAGUAUUUUGUACCCACUUAAUGGUUUGUUUUCGGUUGACAACUUUUCGUCUGGUUUUGUUGGCACUUUACAUUUGUUUGGCCUGCGGUUCGAGUCGGUUUGGGUUGGAUGGCCAUCGAAAGGAUAAGUUAAGGGCCUGGACAACAACUAACAACUAAUUUAAUACAAUUAGUGUAAAAAGUUUUUCAACAAUUGCCGCAGGCACAUUUAAAGUUUUCAACGGCCGCAAAUGUCCGUACGUAAAUUUUAACUACCAAAUAGUUUUAAUUAAAUUUAUCAAAUUAUGACAGAAAAUUCACUUAAAACUAAGUGCCAGCCACAGACACUUGACAUUUUUAGUCAAGUGAGAUGAAAAAAGUUCAUUAAAUUCAAAAAUUUUCUGUUAUCCCUGCAAUCAGUCCUUUGUCAAUUCAAAUCCCCUUGCAUAUGUUUCAAAAUCUCAUUCGUAUUUAGCUGCUUACCCUAUGAUUUCAAUUUUUCUGUCUCUCUGCACUUGUUCAAAAAUAAUAUACUAAUCAUAAUAACACUUA